RNAcentral lists this ribosomal RNA (876 nucleotides) under uncultured organism. RNAcentral's name for it is "bacterial SSU rRNA". It matches the Rfam family "Bacterial small subunit ribosomal RNA", at positions 9 to 873 of the family's 1533-position model. The record is from RNAcentral.
AGAGUUUGAUCCUGGCUCAGAUUGAACGCUGGCGGCAGGCUUAACACAUGCAAGUCGAGCGGAGAUGAGGUGCUUGCACCUUAUCUUAGCGGCGGACGGGUGAGUAAUGCUUAGGAAUCUGCCUAUUAGUGGGGGACAACAUUCCGAAAGGAAUGCUAAUACCGCAUACGUCCUACGGGAGAAAGCAGGGGAUCUUCGGACCUUGCGCUAAUAGAUGAGCCUAAGUCGGAUUAGCUAGUUGGUGGGGUAAAGGCCUACCAAGGCGACGAUCUGUAGCGGGUCUGAGAGGAUGAUCCGCCACACUGGGACUGAGACACGGCCCAGACUCCUACGGGAGGCAGCAGUGGGGAAUAUUGGACAAUGGGGGGAACCCUGAUCCAGCCAUGCCGCGUGUGUGAAGAAGGCCUUAUGGUUGUAAAGCACUUUAAGCGAGGAGGAGGCUACUGAGACUAAUACUCUUGGAUAGUGGACGUUACUCGCAGAAUAAGCACCGGCUAACUCUGUGCCAGCAGCCGCGGUAAUACAGAGGGUGCGAGCGUUAAUCGGAUUUACUGGGCGUAAAGCGUGCGUAGGCGGCUUUUUAAGUCGGAUGUGAAAUCCCCGAGCUUAACUUGGGAAUUGCAUUCGAUACUGGGAAGCUAGAGUAUGGGAGAGGAUGGUAGAAUUCCAGGUGUAGCGGUGAAAUGCGUAGAGAUCUGGAGGAAUACCGAUGGCGAAGGCAGCCAUCUGGCCUAAUACUGACGCUGAGGUACGAAAGCAUGGGGAGCAAACAGGAUUAGAUACCCUGGUAGUCCAUGCCGUAAACGAUGUCUACUAGCCGUUGGGGCCUUUGAGGCUUUAGUGGCGCAGCUAACGCGAUAAAUAGACCGCCUGGGA